AUACGGAGGGUGCAAGCGUUACUCGGAAUCACUGGGCGUAAAGCGCGCGCAGGCGGCCAUUUAAGUUGGAUGUGAAAGCCUACGGCUCAACCGUAGAACUGCAUCCAAAACUAUUUGGCUAGAGUGUGGGAGAGGAAGAUGGAAUUAGUUGUGUAGGGGUAAAAUCCGUAGAGAUAACUAGGAAUACCAAAAGCGAAGGCAAUCUUCUGGAACACUACUGACGCUGAGGCGCGAAAGCGUGGGGAGCAAACAGGAUUAGAAACCCGAGUAGUCC
Molecule: ribosomal RNA, 274 nt
Filed under: uncultured bacterium
Lineage: Bacteria
Description: partial 16S ribosomal RNA
Rfam family: Bacterial small subunit ribosomal RNA
Source: RNAcentral